This 28-nucleotide non-coding RNA is filed under the name Drosophila melanogaster (fruit fly). Lineage: Eukaryota; Metazoa; Arthropoda; Insecta; Diptera; Drosophilidae. The record is from RNAcentral.
UAAAAUUCCCCAAGAUUGUUAUGGCCCG